This 104-nucleotide non-coding RNA is filed under the name Geobacter sp. RNAcentral describes it as "SAM-I sequence". It matches the Rfam family "SAM riboswitch aptamer (S box leader)". Rfam says of the family: The SAM riboswitch is found upstream of a number of genes which code for proteins involved in methionine or cysteine biosynthesis in Gram-positive bacteria. The SAM riboswitch acts at the level of transcription termination control. Lineage: Bacteria; Pseudomonadati; Thermodesulfobacteriota; Desulfuromonadia; Geobacterales; Geobacteraceae. The record is from RNAcentral. RNAcentral also lists the same sequence under 1 other name.
UUCUUAUCAAGAGCGACUGAGGGACCGGCCCUGUGACGUCGCGGCAACCCCCUGCAAAGGGAAGGUGCCAAAUCCUGCGAAACUUAGGUUUCGGGAGAUAAGGA